GUGAAAUUGUUGAAAGGGAAACGAUUGAAGCCAGUCGUACCUGUGCGUAAUCAGCCUUUUGGGUGUGAUUUUGUGGAGUGUGCGGAGUUAAACGCCUUCAUGCCUGCAUAUUCGUGCACUUUGGGUGUAUUUACCCGUGUGGUAAGUUAACAUCAAUUUCGAUGGUCAUAAAAUGGCUGGAGGAAUGUAGCUUCGAUCUCGUAUUGAAGUGUUAUAGCCUUCGGUAGAUGCGAUAAUCGGGAUUGAUGAUUGCAACGGAUACCCUUCGGGGCUACCUUUCUGAUCUCUGAUCGUUGCGCUGGUGCCGAAAGCUUGCUUACGGUUAUCAAAGGCGAUGGUCAAUAGGUUAGAAUGGGUUAAAUUCGUUAAGGAUGUUGACGUAAUGGCUUUAAACGAC
Molecule: ribosomal RNA, 397 nt
Filed under: uncultured Rhizophagus
Lineage: Eukaryota; Fungi; Glomeromycota; Glomeromycetes; Glomerales; Glomeraceae
Description: eukaryotic LSU rRNA
Source: RNAcentral